This 257-nucleotide ribosomal RNA is filed under the name uncultured bacterium. RNAcentral describes it as "partial 16S ribosomal RNA". It matches the Rfam family "Bacterial small subunit ribosomal RNA", at positions 524 to 776 of the family's 1533-position model. The record is from RNAcentral.
UACGGAGGGGGGCUAGCGUUGUUCGGAAUUACCGGGGCGUAAAGCGCACGUAGGCGGAUCAGUCAGUCAGAGGUGAAAUCCCCGGAGCUCAACUUCGGAACUGCCUUUUGAUACUGCUGAUCUAGAGUCCGGGAGAGGUGCAUGGAAUUCCGAGUGUAGAGGUGAAAUUCGUAGAUAUUCGGAGGAACACCAGAGGCGAAGGCGAUGCACUGGACCGGUACUGACGCUGAGGUGCGAAAGCGUGGGGAGCAAACAGG